AUGCAAAAAGAGUUGUACAUUUAGCUUGAGUCAUGUUUAAAGCUUAUAAGUGUUGUAACUUAUGUUGUUUUCUUUGUACUUUCUUUGGGUACUUAUACAACGUCGCUUUCAAGAGACAGAAAGACAUCCGAAAAUCCACCGCCGCUCAACCUCUGCUCCACGGCUUCUCCUCCGGCCGGCGUCAUCCUCAUCGCCAGUAUACUAUAAGAUUUAGCUUUUGAUCUUCAAGAAUGGGUUUUAACAGGGUAUUUGUUGGAUUACGUUGUAUAUAUGUUCAGAAUCUGCUUCGUGAGCGUUGGGAGCUAGCGUCUAUUCUCAAUUUUUUGCAGUGAAAUCCCGUUGAGAAGACUAAAUACAAACAUCAAUGCUGGUGAAUUAUAGCUAAAGAGUUCUAUACGACAAAUGACAAAAUCUUUGUGGGUCGAACCAAGUCAACAACAGUAGAGAUCAUGGGGUAUAACUACGCAUUGGUCGGCCAGGCUCCAUAUGGCGAAAAGUGCACAAGAUGCUCAAGCUCGAAGUCUUCUCUCAAUGAAGAGUACAGAUACUCGAACAUGUUCAAGACGUCUUAAAAGGAAAGUUGAAAGAGCACAAGAAGGGUUCCACCGCCUUUCAACUAACCACAUCUGUCGUUCCGCCCUCCGACCGGCUCGUCACACUACCAGCCGCCACCUCACUUUGGACACUGUCUCGAGACGUCACCUCCUUCGCUAUCGACUGGCAACCUCCGACGGCCACUGCUGCACUAGCUAGUUUCGUUGGAAAACCGGGUUUCCGGUUUUUGGUUAUUCCGAUCACACCUAUUACCCUGUUAGUUAUCUGCUUUGCUUUCUUACUUUGUUAAAAUUUGCUUACUAACAAAUUUUUUUUCCAGUUUUCCGUUUAAUGUUUUUAAUAUACGUUACGAUAAGUUUCGAUAUUCACGUCAAGUACGUGGGU
RNAcentral lists this long non-coding RNA (939 nucleotides) under Helianthus annuus (common sunflower). The record is from RNAcentral. Lineage: Eukaryota; Viridiplantae; Streptophyta; Magnoliopsida; Asterales; Asteraceae.